This 468-nucleotide ribosomal RNA is filed under the name uncultured bacterium. Its description in RNAcentral is "partial 16S ribosomal RNA". It matches the Rfam family "Bacterial small subunit ribosomal RNA", at positions 28 to 507 of the family's 1533-position model. The record is from RNAcentral.
GACGAACGCUGGCGGCGUGCUUAACACAUGCAAGUCGAACGGAAAGGCCCUGCUUUUGUGGGGUGCUCGAGUGGCGAACGGGUGAGUAACACGUGAGUAACCUGCCCUUGACUUUGGGAUAACUUCAGGAAACUGGGGCUAAUACCGGAUAGGAGCUCCUGCUGCAUGGUGGGGGUUGGAAAGUUUCGGCGGUUGGGGAUGGACUCGCGGCUUAUCAGCUUGUUGGUGGGGUAGUGGCUUACCAAGGCUUUGACGGGUAGCCGGCCUGAGAGGGUGACCGGCCACAUUGGGACUGAGAUACGGCCCAGACUGCUACGGGAGGCAGCAGUGGGGAAUAUUGCACAAUGGGCGGAAGCCUGAUGCAGCAACGUCGCGUGCGGGAUGACGGCCUUCGGGUUAUAAACCGCUUUCGCCUGUGACGAAGCGUGAGUGACGGUAAUGGGUAAAGAAGCACCGGCUAACUACGUG